RNAcentral lists this unclassified non-coding RNA (20 nucleotides) under Dictyostelium discoideum. Lineage: Eukaryota; Evosea; Eumycetozoa; Dictyosteliales; Dictyosteliaceae. The record is from RNAcentral.
AACAUGUGACGAUGAUGACG